RNAcentral lists this transfer RNA (110 nucleotides) under Metarhizium majus ARSEF 297. It matches the Rfam family "tRNA". From Rfam's summary of the family: Transfer RNA (tRNA) molecules are approximately 80 nucleotides in length. Their secondary structure includes four short double-helical elements and three loops (D, anti-codon, and T loops). The record is from Rfam by way of RNAcentral. Lineage: Eukaryota; Fungi; Ascomycota; Sordariomycetes; Hypocreales; Clavicipitaceae.
GACACUUUGGCCGAGUGGUUAAGGCGAUGCCCUGCUAAGAAGGCCUUGUAUAAGGCAGAUUAGAUAAGGCAUUACUCUCGAGUGCGCAGGUUCGAAUCCUGCAGGUGUCG